Vicia faba (fava bean) is the source of this 267-nucleotide non-coding RNA. The record is from the annotation of a GenBank genome assembly. NCBI's taxonomy places the organism in Eukaryota, Viridiplantae, Streptophyta, Magnoliopsida, Fabales, Fabaceae.
AUGCAAUCCGUGGCACUUUCUUCUAAGAGAUUAAGAUCCAAGCUCUUGAGUUCACAUCAUUUUCUUCAGAAGGAUUUGUAUAGAGGAAGAGAAACCGAGUGUUUUGAAGAAAAAAAAUUUGGGUUCUGGAACUUUCACGGCGGCGCCACCGUAACAAUUCAUGUGCACCGUCCUCUCCUUUUAAGCUUCUUUCAACAACAUUUGUGGGAGGAUCAUCCCUUCAUCAUAUCAUAUCAAUUCAAUAACAACAAGAUCACAUUAAGGUAA